CUGCUUGAAGCGCUGAUGGAGCCGGCUAGCGUCGGCCGAAGCCUCGGCUUGGCUCGGAGCCGGACUCGGAGCCGCAGCCGCCGCCUUGGCUGGGGUGCUGCUAGUGCGUCUGCUUCGAACCACUUCGCGAGACAGGUAGCGAGAGGACCCAACCACUGCCAGUGCUGUCGUCUUCGCCAGUCCUGCCCUCCUUCCCGCCCUCCCUCUUACCGCGAGGCCAAGUCUGAAGGGUCCUGGCCAGACCCCCCUAUCCCCCGAGCACCGGCACAACGACCGUUCCGGGGAUGUGCUGCUGUCACAUAAAGUCGAGUUUCUAGCGUUUUU
Ixodes scapularis (black-legged tick) is the source of this 324-nucleotide long non-coding RNA. RefSeq lists it as uncharacterized. The transcript is spliced from 3 exons. NCBI's taxonomy places the organism in Eukaryota, Metazoa, Arthropoda, Arachnida, Ixodida, Ixodidae. The record is from RefSeq and is a predicted model, not a curated record.